UACGGAGGGUGCAAGCGUUAUCCGGAUUCAUUGGGUUUAAAGGGUGCGUAGGCGGGAUAGCAAGUCAGUGGUGAAAGCCUACAGCUUAACUGUAGAAUUGCCAUUGAUACUGUUAUCCUUGAGUUCAGUUGAGGUAGCUGGAAUCCGUGGUGUAGCGGUGAAAUGCUUAGAUAUCACGCAGAACACCGAUUGCGAAGGCAGGUUACUAAACUGCAACUGACGCUGAGGCGCGAAAGCGUGGGGAGCAAACAGG
RNAcentral lists this ribosomal RNA (253 nucleotides) under uncultured bacterium. RNAcentral's name for it is "partial 16S ribosomal RNA". It matches the Rfam family "Bacterial small subunit ribosomal RNA", at positions 524 to 776 of the family's 1533-position model. The record is from RNAcentral.